GGGGCAUAGCUCAGCUGGGAGAGCACCUGCUUUGCAAGCAGGGGGUCGUCGGUUCGAUCCCGUCUGCCUCACCA
RNAcentral lists this transfer RNA (74 nucleotides) under Burkholderia pseudomallei. RNAcentral's name for it is "tRNA-Ala". It matches the Rfam family "tRNA". From Rfam's summary of the family: Transfer RNA (tRNA) molecules are approximately 80 nucleotides in length. Their secondary structure includes four short double-helical elements and three loops (D, anti-codon, and T loops). Lineage: Bacteria; Pseudomonadati; Pseudomonadota; Betaproteobacteria; Burkholderiales; Burkholderiaceae. The record is from RNAcentral.